This 253-nucleotide ribosomal RNA is filed under the name uncultured bacterium. RNAcentral describes it as "partial 16S ribosomal RNA". It matches the Rfam family "Bacterial small subunit ribosomal RNA", at positions 524 to 776 of the family's 1533-position model. The record is from RNAcentral.
GACGAAGGAUGCAAGCGUUAUCCGGAUUCAUUGGGUUUAAAGGGAGCGUAGGUGGCCUUAUAAGUCAGUGGUGAAAUCUUCGAGCUUAACUCGGAAAUUGCCAUUGAUACUGUAGGGCUUGAGUACAGAUGAGGUAGGCGGAAUUGACAGUGUAGCGGUGAAAUGCUUAGAUAUUGUCAAGAACACCUAUUGCGAAGGCAGCUUACUAAGCUGUAACUGACGCUGAGGCACGAAAGCGUGGGGAUCAAACAGG